UGGAGAAAGAGGAACACUCCUCCAUUG
This 27-nucleotide non-coding RNA is filed under the name Mus musculus (house mouse). RNAcentral also lists the same sequence under 1 other name. Lineage: Eukaryota; Metazoa; Chordata; Mammalia; Rodentia; Muridae. The record is from RNAcentral.